UACAGAGGGGGCAAGCGUUGUUCGGAAUUACUGGGCGUAAAGGGCGCGUAGGCGGCCUUCUAAGUCGAACGUGAAAUCCCCGGGCUCAACUCGGGAACUGCGUCCGAUACUGGUGGGCUUGAAUCCGGGAGAGGGAUGCGGAAUUCCAGGUGUAGCGGUGAAAUGCGUAGAUAUCCGGAGGAACACCGGUGGCGAAGGCGGCUUCCUGGACCGAUACUGACGCUGAGGCGCGAAAGCUAGGGGAGCAAACGGG
RNAcentral lists this ribosomal RNA (253 nucleotides) under uncultured bacterium. RNAcentral describes it as "partial 16S ribosomal RNA". It matches the Rfam family "Bacterial small subunit ribosomal RNA", at positions 524 to 776 of the family's 1533-position model. The record is from RNAcentral.